CCUACGGGAGACAGCAGUGGGGAAUAUUGCACAAUGGGGGAAACCCUGAUGCAGCGACGCCGCGUGAGUGAAGAAGUCUUUCUGUAUGUAAAGCUCUAUCAGCAGGGAAGAAAAUGACGGUACCUGUUUAAGAAGCCCCGGCUAACUACGUGCCAGCUGCCGUGGUAAUACGUAGGCGCAAGCGUUAUCCGGAUUUACUGGGUGUAAAGGGAGCGUAGGCGGCAGGACAAGUCUGGAGUGAAAUGCCUGGGCUUAACCCCGGAACUGCUUUGGAAACUGUGCAGCUAGAGUGCAGGAGAGGUAAGUGGAAUGCAUAGUGUAGCGGUGAAAUGCGUAGAUAUUAGGAGGAACACCAGUGGCGAAGGCGGCUUACUGGACUGUAACUGACGUUGAGGCUCGAAAGCGUGGGGAGCAAACAGGAUUAGAUACCCCAGUAGUC
This 439-nucleotide ribosomal RNA is filed under the name uncultured bacterium. RNAcentral's name for it is "partial 16S ribosomal RNA". It matches the Rfam family "Bacterial small subunit ribosomal RNA", at positions 338 to 795 of the family's 1533-position model. The record is from RNAcentral.